GCCAGUGACAUCUCAGUUUCACCAUGUCCCUUAUACAGAGAUGUCUCUUCAGCCUUCUAAUUCCCAUUUGUCUGGCGCAGACAUCCACCAUUAAUCAGUGGCCCAGAGCAAUCAUGAGAGAGUUAGGUUCCGUGGUACACAUGAACUGCACUCAGACAACAGAUCACAACUAUAUGUACUGGUAUCUACAGAGGAAUGGUCAAGGACUAGAGCUUAUAGCCUGGAGUCUAAUAGGCCAAACACCUGAGAAUGAGAAAGGGAUUGACAAAGACAAGUUCAUAAUGACCAGGACUGAGUCAGGGAAGACGACUCACCUGGAAAUCAAAUCCCUGGAGAACCAGGACAAAGGGAUCUAUUUCUGUGCUUCUAGUGAAGCACAGUGACUCAGGAGAGCCAGACGCCUUUCAAAUAACCUCACACUACAAGCUAGAGCAGUUUAUCUCUAAAAAUUAUCAGACACAGUUUAGUGGGUUUAGAAUGAAGAAACCUGUCCUCAAUUAACAACAUGUACACCAGAAAUACCUAUAUUUGCUCUUGAUCCAUACAGAAGUGUUUAUUCUAGACUUGUGCAAUUUGUUUAGUUCUGAAGCUCAUUUUGUCCGCAUUCGGUUUAAUUGGUUAAAUCUGGAAGUGGACAUAUUUCUGAAGUUACUAACACUGAAAGGAACCCAAAAUGACUGAAAUCAGAUCAAAUUUAAACAAAUUAUUUCAGAUCCAUUUGUUUUCAAAAGGAUAGCCAAUUAGGGACUUAUCUACUAAACUGCUUAAACAGCAAAAAUAAGAAAAAGGCAUUUUUCUUAAUUUUUUUUUAACGAAAAUAUAAGGGUUUUCCCUUGUUCCUAUCACUUCUUUCCGUGAUACAUUAUUCGGUUGAAGCUGUUAGUUUUCAUUCAUUUUUCGUGUUUUUUUUUCCU
Molecule: non-coding RNA, 914 nt
Organism: Pelobates fuscus (common spadefoot toad)
Lineage: Eukaryota; Metazoa; Chordata; Amphibia; Anura; Pelobatidae
Source: the annotation of a RefSeq genome assembly